This 871-nucleotide ribosomal RNA is filed under the name Clostridioides difficile. RNAcentral describes it as "partial 23S ribosomal RNA". It matches the Rfam family "Bacterial large subunit ribosomal RNA", at positions 1834 to 2703 of the family's 2925-position model. Lineage: Bacteria; Bacillati; Bacillota; Clostridia; Peptostreptococcales; Peptostreptococcaceae. The record is from RNAcentral.
CAAGACGAUGUAUAGGAGCUGACGCCUGCCCGGUGCUGGAAGGUUAAGGGGAUCUGUUAGAGCAAUCGAAGCAGUGAACUUAAGCCCCAGUAAACGGCGGCCGUAACUAUAACGGUCCUAAGGUAGCGAAAUUCCUUGUCGGGUAAGUUCCGACCCGCACGAAAGGCGUAACGAUUUGGGCACUGUCUCAACAACAGACUCGGUGAAAUUGUAAUUCCGGUGAAGAUGCCGGAUACCUGCGACAGGACGGAAAGACCCCAUGGAGCUUUACUGUAGCUUGACAUUGGGUCUUGGUACUACAUGUACAGGAUAGGUGGGAGGCUUUGAAACCAGGACGCCAGUUUUGGCGGAGCCAUCCUUGGGAUACCACCCUUGUAGUACUGGGACUCUAACCAUAGGCCAUGAAUCUGGUCUUGGGACACUGUCAGGUGGGCAGUUUGACUGGGGCGGUCGCCUCCCAAAAGGUAACGGAGGCGCUCAAAGGUUCUCUCAGUACGGUCGGAAAUCGUACGUAGAGUGUAAAGGCAAAAGAGAGCUUGAUUGCAAGACAUACAGGUCGAGCAAGGAUGAAAAUCGGACUUAGUGAUCCGGUGGUUCUGCGUGGAAGGGCCAUCGCUCAACGGAUAAAAGCUACCCUGGGGAUAACAGGCUUAUCUCCCCCAAGAGUCCACAUCGACGGGGAGGUUUGGCACCUCGAUGUCGGCUCAUCACAUCCUGGGGCUGUAGUAGGUCCCAAGGGUUGGGCUGUUCGCCCAUUAAAGUGGUACGCGAGCUGGGUUCAGAACGUCGUGAGACAGUUCGGUCCCUAUCCGUCGCAGGCGUAGGAAAUUUGAGAAGACCUGUCCUUAGUACGAGAGGACCGGGAUGGACG